CGCGAACAGAGAGAAAUGCCGAGGUUGAGGGGCGCGGCUGCCCGGGUUCGGCGAUGGGUUAUAGGGUCCGCGUCCGCCCCGCGUCCGUACAGCCAACGUCACGCCGCAUUCUUAUUUCCAAAGACCUCUGGAGCUUGGGGUCCCACCCCAGCGAUCUUUCGGGGCGUCCUGUGCCCGUCACGCGCCGCGCCGGCUCGGCCCGAAGCGCCCUGCGGACCCGCAGCCUGGGCCGCCCAGAACCUGACGGCCCCGCGGGGGUCAGACGCGGGAGGAACGGCCUCGCUUUCAGAGACGCAGUGAGAGGGCGGUCCCCGCCGUCCCUCUGGCCGGGUGCUCAGCACGCGUUCUUCUCACUCCCAGGACGAGCCGAGCGGCGGGCGCGGACCGGGGCUUGGGGUCGGAGGCGGCGCAGCCAGAAAGGCGCUAGCGGCGCUGAGACGUUUGGGGGAACGCGGGGGCUUCGCGUCUCGGUGGCGGGAAGCGGAAUGAGGUUGGACCGGCCGGGCCGGCGUUCAGGGGCCCGGCGGGAGGCGGAGGGCUGGCGUCCUCGCGGACAUCCAUCUGCAGCGAACCAGGCAGAGGCUUCGGGAUUAGAUCCCUGACUCCUUGCGUCAGUAGCUAAGCUUUGUGAUAGUCUGAGGUCCAAGAAGGGAUUAAAACCAGGAACUGGCUCCUUUUCCAACCACUAAAGCCUCAUCUGGGCCCACAAGCCCUGGCUGUUCCCUGGAGCGUGACUGGAAGAUGUGAGCAGCUUUGUGCUGGAGCCCCAUUUCCAUGGUGCAUGCUGCUGCCAAACCAGAGAUCACUUGUAGACUUGAAAGGGAACAUGAGCUUUGGGUGAAGGAUUCCCAGGCCCCAACAGAGGCCAAAAAGCUACCACUCAGCCAGGCAGAAGGAAAAUAAAGUAUGCAUUUUAUGAUACAACUCAGCUUGGAGGGAUUAAGUAGAAGGUCCUCACUGCACCUCAUGGCAGGCUGCUGACGGCAGAUAUUUAACCAGAGGCCCACUCAACCGGGCAGUCAGGGAAGGGUUGGCUCCUGCUCUGUCCAGCUGUCUUCAUAAGGGACCCUGUGACACUUUUUAUAAAAAUGACUUUGAUUUCUGCAUAAGAAGGCUUCCCAAGCUUGCUGUCUAGCAGUGGCUGCUGCAGGGAAUUAUUCACAUGGCAGCAAGAGAGCCCUGGCUCCUUGGACCAGGACAUUCCCUUUGUGUGUGUUGGAAUGAGAGCAGGAAGAGUGCUGGUCAGAAGCCCCUCCCCAGGGCUCUGGGACUUCAGUGUUCUCAGACCAACUGGGCCGCUCCUCUGAGCUGGGAUGCUGACCCACACUUGGCCCCAGCUCUGGCAUCCACUGGACACUGCCUUAUCCGUCGUCUCGCUGGGGCUGGGGGCUGGAGGCUGAGCAGGUCACACUGAACAAAAGCAAUGUGUCCCCAUCACUAGGCUAACAUCUGAGUUCUCUUCCACAGAAUUUGGUAACAAAGUCAGAAAUGAGACUGAAGAUGAUUCUGGAGGCAACUGGGAACCCCCCCAGAACGAUUCUGCAGGCUUCUGGGAAGCUGAAAAACCCCAAGGCCAGACUGGCCUCUGAGAAUGCCUGAGUCCUUUCGAUUCCACUGGAAAAGCCAUCCAUCUGUGCCAAGUGUGUGGAGAGCUUCAAGAGCCAUACGGCCCUGGCCACCCGUGAGCACAGCCACGUGGGGGAGUGGUCCUGAAAGUGUCCUGGUGUGGCAAAGGCUUUCCACUAAGUGGACCUCAGAUGGCACAGGAAGACUCUCCUGGGGAUGUGGGAGGACACUGCCUAGUGGGAGAGGGGCUGCUCUUUCAGGUGUGUACACUAAACGCAGAGGCAGCCUCUCCCGGCUGCCAAGAAGCCUGUGCAUGACCCAGGACCACGAAACACUUGCCAACUGUCACUACCCAGAGGCCCUGUGCCUGUCUGGAGUGUGCCCAGUGUGUCUGCGCCCCACAGCUUGUCCUGGCCCGCCAGCAGAGCCGCAGCACUGCAGGGCCCUUCUGUUGUUGUGAGUGCCAGGGCCCUUGCUGGCUGCCUGAGCAAGGCAAAAGGUUCAAAACAGGAAGUCUCUGGGCAGCUAUUCCCAGGUGCAGAGGGGAGCAGCGGCCACGUGGGUGCCAGUGUGGCAGGAGCUGCAGUCAGAGGCAGCAUCUCAAGAGCCCUGGGAGCAGGGGCUGGCCACGUGAAGCCCAUGAGUGUCGCUGGCACGGGAAAGGGACACGAGGAUCACACUGACCCAAGAGAAGGCCCACAGUGAGGAGGCCCCACCGAAGCAUCCCCAGCAACGGGCUGAGGCAUCCGAGGCAGCCAGCCCACUCAGAAAGGCCUGCUGACUGCACUCCGGAUGUCAAGAGCACCCUUGGGAAAAAGAAAGGCCGGAGUGCAGCACCUUCUAGAGCCUCACCUCGCUUCUCUCCUUCUAGCUCCAGCCAGAGUGAUGGAAGAGGCUGCGCUGGGAGCUGCCUCCCUGGGAGCCUACCCUGCCCAGCCUGAGAGUGGAGGCUACCGGCAUCGCGCUUCCGCUAGUGAAAUCCAUCUGUCCUGAAGGGAACCCUGGGAAGGGGUCAAGGAGACCCUGUUCACCCCCACCACGGGGUCAGGUCUUCACCGCAGGGAGGCCGCACGGAUUCCCAGUCGCAAACCCAAAGCCUUGCUGCCUGUGCCUCUGCUUCCAUAGUUGUUUCAAUGUCUUUUUUAAAAAUCACGUACACUCGAGUAAGACCGAGUCUCCUCACCAAAGAGAUCUGGCUGUAUCCCGAGUCUCUGAAACCUUUGCUCCAGUCCCGUGGGAGCGUGCCGUCCCAAGGAUGUGGAGCUGCGAGGGCUUGCCAGAGGGAUCUCAGGGGCUAGGCCUCAAGGAGCGUUGUUGAGUGACAGGUCUGAUGCAGCAGCUUUCACUACUGGUGGAAAUCGAUGUUUUUUCCUUGAAAGUCUACCUUUCUAAUUUCAGUAACCAAAUUAGAUCAUGU
Molecule: non-coding RNA, 2983 nt
Filed under: Pongo abelii (Sumatran orangutan)
Lineage: Eukaryota; Metazoa; Chordata; Mammalia; Primates; Hominidae
Source: RNAcentral